UGAAGACCCUCAUCUCUCUCUCUCUCUCCCCACCAAACGAUGACUGAUUUCCUUUGGUGCUUAGAGUCCCAUCUGUCAUCUAGCACCAUUUGAAAUCGGUUAUAAUGACUGGGGAUCAAUUCUUCA
This 126-nucleotide microRNA precursor is filed under the name Danio rerio (zebrafish). RNAcentral's name for it is "microRNA dre-mir-29a precursor". Its record names the gene dre-mir-29a. The stretch from base 38 to 105 matches the Rfam family "mir-29 microRNA precursor family". From Rfam's summary of the family: This family represents the microRNA (miRNA) precursors mir-29. Animal miRNAs are transcribed as ~70nt precursors and subsequently processed by the Dicer enzyme to give a ~22nt product. The record is from miRBase by way of RNAcentral. Lineage: Eukaryota; Metazoa; Chordata; Actinopteri; Cypriniformes; Danionidae.